Molecule: small nucleolar RNA, 65 nt
Organism: Xenopus tropicalis (tropical clawed frog)
Lineage: Eukaryota; Metazoa; Chordata; Amphibia; Anura; Pipidae
Source: Ensembl
AAUAGAUUUGAUCUUAUACUGCCCAAGUCUGAAGUCAGUGACUGAGUGGUACAAUCUGAGCUGCA